GACGAACGCUGGCGGCGUGCUUAACACAUGCAAGUCGAGCGGUAAGGCCCUUUCGGGGGUACGACGAGCGGCGAACGGGUGAGUAACACGUGGGUGACCUGCCCUCAGCUCUGGGAUAAGCCUGGGAAACCGGGGUCUAAUACCGGAUAUGACUCCAUGACGCAUGUUGUGGGGUGGAAAGCCUUGUGCGGCUGAGGAUGGGCCCGCGGCCUAUCAGCUUGUUGGUGGGGUGAUGGCCUACCAAGGCGACGACGGGUAGCCGGCCUGAGAGGGCGACCGGCCACACUGGGACUGAGACACGGCCCAGACUCCUACGGGAGGCAGCAGUGGGGAAUCUUGCGCAAUGGGCGAAAGCCUGACGCAGCGACG
Molecule: ribosomal RNA, 369 nt
Filed under: uncultured bacterium
Lineage: Bacteria
Description: bacterial SSU rRNA
Rfam family: Bacterial small subunit ribosomal RNA
Source: RNAcentral